UAAGGAAUAUUCCCCAAUGGGCGAAAUCCUGCCAUCAGGCGACAACCGCUGUAGGGGAUGAAGGUCUUCGGAUUGUAAACCCCUUUCGGGAGGGAAGAUGGAAUGGGUUAACGCAUUCGAACGGUACCUCCAGAACCUGCCACGGCUAACUGCGUG
RNAcentral lists this ribosomal RNA (156 nucleotides) under uncultured bacterium. RNAcentral describes it as "partial 16S ribosomal RNA". It matches the Rfam family "Bacterial small subunit ribosomal RNA", at positions 355 to 507 of the family's 1533-position model. The record is from RNAcentral.